GACGUAGGGGGCCAGCGUUGUUCGGAAUUACUGGGUGUAAAGGGUUCGUAGGCGGUGUGGCAAGUCGGGAGUGAAAUCUCUGGGCUCAACUCAGAGACUGCUUCCGAAACUGCUGUGCUGGAGUGUGGGAGAGGCGCGUGGAAUUGCAGGUGUAGCGGUGAAAUGCGUAGAUAUCUGCAGGAACACCCGUGGCGAAAGCGGCGCGCUGGACCACUACUGACGCUGAGACGCGAAAGCGUGGGGAGCAAACGGG
RNAcentral lists this ribosomal RNA (253 nucleotides) under uncultured bacterium. Its description in RNAcentral is "partial 16S ribosomal RNA". It matches the Rfam family "Bacterial small subunit ribosomal RNA", at positions 524 to 776 of the family's 1533-position model. The record is from RNAcentral.